This 515-nucleotide ribosomal RNA is filed under the name uncultured bacterium. RNAcentral's name for it is "partial 16S ribosomal RNA". It matches the Rfam family "Bacterial small subunit ribosomal RNA", at positions 28 to 523 of the family's 1533-position model. The record is from RNAcentral.
GAUGAACGCUGGCGGCGUGCCUAAUACAUGCAAGUCGAGCGAAUGGAUUAAGAGCUUGCUCUUAUGAAGUUAGCGGCGGCCGGGUGAGUAACACGUGGGUAACCUGCCCAUAAGACUGGGAUAACUCCGGGAAACCGGGGCUAAUACCGGAUAACAUUUUGAACCGCAUGGUUAGAAAUUGAAAGGCGGCUUCGGCUGUUACUCAUGGAUGGACCCGCGUCGCAUUAGCUAGUGGGUGAGGUAAAGGCUCACCAAGGCAACGAUGCGUAGCCGACCUGAGAGGGUGGUCGGCCACACUGGGACUGAGACACGGCCCAGACUCCUACGGGAGGCAGCAGUAGGGAAUCUUCCGCAAUGGACGAAAGUCUGACGGAGCAACGCCGCGUGAGUGAUGAAGGCUUUCGGGUCGUAAAACUCUGUUGUUAGGGAAGAACAAGUGCUAGUUGAAUAAGCUGGCACCUUGACGGUACCUAACCAGAAAGCCACGGCUAACUACGUGCCAGCAGCCGCAGUAA